AUCAAAGGGAAAGGAGAUAGCUAGAGAUUAGAAGAGGAAAAGAAAGGAGGAAUUCAAGAAAGGUUGUAGAUAAAAUAGGGCAACAGAAGUUAUCAGAGAUCUACAUCAGAUAUCAAGGCCAUCAUCAUAGCUGGUUGUUUUGAGUCUCGGAGUCAUAGUACAGUUUUAUUUUGGCAUGUACAUAUUAAAUAGAGUGAGUUGUGAAGGUUAUGUAAAUCAAAGAAUAGUAAGAUAUCAAGUGACAGUUGGUAGUGUUAUUAUAAGUGUGAUGUUCAUAUGUAUUACAGGUUAAAGUGCUAAUGAAACAGAGAAAACUCUGCCGAAAAGUUUGGUUUAAAAA
Manihot esculenta (cassava) is the source of this 340-nucleotide long non-coding RNA. RefSeq lists it as uncharacterized. The record is from RefSeq and is a predicted model, not a curated record. The transcript is spliced from 2 exons. NCBI's taxonomy places the organism in Eukaryota, Viridiplantae, Streptophyta, Magnoliopsida, Malpighiales, Euphorbiaceae.